This is a long non-coding RNA of Dicentrarchus labrax (European seabass), 1052 nucleotides long. RefSeq lists it as uncharacterized. The transcript has 3 exons. The record is from RefSeq and is a predicted model, not a curated record. NCBI's taxonomy places the organism in Eukaryota, Metazoa, Chordata, Actinopteri, Moronidae.
AACUUCGCAGGUUUUCUUCAUUAUUUACUCAGCUACAACAGCAGACCUCACCCAGCAGUUCUUCCUUGUGUCCACAUCAACCAGGAAGAGUUGGAUGACAGGAGCUGCGUGUUGACAAAAUGCAGCCAAUGAAAAUGAAGCCGUCCCGCACAUCAACCAAUAAUGUUUGAGGAAGGGUGUGGUGAUAAAGACAGACCAUCUUUGUCGAGUCCAAGGCCAGGACUAGUCCAGACCAAGUCCAGAGUCAUUAUCUAAAGAGAUCGUCACUCUAGAUGGCAUUACCUUGGGCUCCAGCCCCACUGUCAGGAAUCUUGGAGUUAUCUUUGAUCAGGAUAUGCCCUUCAACUCCCACAUAAAGCAAACCUCUAGGACUGCCUUUUUUCACUUAACAUAACAUUGCAAAUCCGACACAUCCUGUCACAGAGAGAUGCAGAAAAACUAAUCCAUGCAUUUGUUACUUCUAGGCUGGAUUACUGCAACUCUUUAUUAUCAGGUUGCCCCAAUAAGUCCAUUAAGACGUUACAAUUGAUUCAGAACGCUGCAGCACGAGUACUGACAUUAUAUUUCUCCUGUAUUAGUUUCUCUGCAUUGCAAUUUAAAAUCCUUGUUCGCACCUAUAAAGCUCUUUAUGGUCAGGCACCUUCAUAUCUUAAAGAGCUCAUAGUACCUUAUUACCCCUCUAGAAAACUAUGUUCUCUGAAAUGCAGGGCUACUUGUGGUUCCUAUAGCUUCCAGUUUGGGUUCGGGAGGCAGACACCCUCUCCACAUUUAAGAGUAGGCUUAACACGUUCCACUUUGAUAAAGCUUAUAGUUAGGGCUGGAUCAGGUGAGUCCUGAACCAUCCCUUAGUUAUGCUGCUAUAGGCCUACAUUCAUGUUCCAUUAAUGCAUGUUACUAACUUCACUUCUUCUCCAGAGUUUUUGUACUUUCUUGUCUCACAGGUUCUCAUGGAUCCUGGUUGUGCCUGCUGCCGUGGUCCUGCUUGACUUUCAUUCUUCUUCUUCUUCUUCUUCUCCUUCUUUUUCUUCUUCUUCUUCUUCUUCUUAUUAAUA